Molecule: non-coding RNA, 73 nt
Organism: Mirounga angustirostris (Northern elephant seal)
Lineage: Eukaryota; Metazoa; Chordata; Mammalia; Carnivora; Phocidae
Source: the annotation of a RefSeq genome assembly
GCCUGGCUGGCUCAGUGGGUGGAGCAUGAGACUCAUGAUCUCGAGGUUGUGAGUUCAAGCCCCACACUGGGUG